RNAcentral lists this ribosomal RNA (245 nucleotides) under uncultured bacterium. Its description in RNAcentral is "partial 16S ribosomal RNA". It matches the Rfam family "Bacterial small subunit ribosomal RNA", at positions 524 to 769 of the family's 1533-position model. The record is from RNAcentral.
UACGUAGGGGGCGAGCGUUAUCCGGAAUUACUGGGCGUAAAGAGUGCGUAGGUGGCCAUGCAAGCGCAGGGUUUAAGGCUAGGGCCUAACCGUAGUUCGCCUUGCGAACUGCUUGGCUUGAGUACAGGAGGGGAAAGCGGAAUUCCUAGUGUAGCGGUGAAAUGCGUAGAUAUUAGGAGGAACACCAGUGGCGAAGGCGGCUUUCUGGACUGAAACUGACACUGAGGCACGAAAGCGUGGGUAGC